GCCGGUCCUCGGUAGUGGCCCCCGGACGGCCCAUGGUCCCGACCAUGCGGCAGCACCCCGGGUGCUUCGAUCGAAGACCGGC
Molecule: regulatory RNA element, 82 nt
Organism: Streptomyces sp. NRRL F-4489
Lineage: Bacteria; Bacillati; Actinomycetota; Actinomycetes; Kitasatosporales; Streptomycetaceae
Rfam family: Actino-pnp RNA
Source: Rfam